Centrocercus urophasianus (Greater sage-grouse) is the source of this 199-nucleotide long non-coding RNA. RefSeq lists it as uncharacterized. NCBI's taxonomy places the organism in Eukaryota, Metazoa, Chordata, Aves, Galliformes, Phasianidae. The record is from RefSeq and is a predicted model, not a curated record. The transcript is spliced from 3 exons.
CUCAGCAGCAGGCCAGCAGCAGUGUGGACAAUGUCAGUGCUCUCUUCCCACGGAUGGACGUGCCCAGGGAAGGCUGGAGGAGCUGGGUGCCACAAUAAUGUGAGAAACAUAAAAUUUUGCUGUGAGUCCUGCAGGGGGAAAAGAGCAACACACAGGAACAAAACCAAAACAUGCUUAUGCAGUUCAAAACUGAAACAAG